UAGACAGGGCUUUCCAGUCUAGCUGGCGUGUUAAUUCACUGGCUAGUUUUAUUUACCUACAGGUGAGGCAUUCUGAAAGGAGCAUUAAUCUUGCCUGGAAGGACCGACCUGCUGGCAGCCAAUUCAUCAGCAACACUCCCUGGAAGCUGCUGGCCCACACUUUCCAUCAGUGAAUAUUGUUGAACCAUCAUGGAGGCUCAGGCAAAGGUGUGGCUCCUCUAAGGCAGAGAUUCAGAAAUGUUAAGAAGAGCAGAAUACCUACAGUCUUCAAAUCUGAGCUCCUCUGUGUGCGGACCAUGGUCAGACGUAACUAAUGCAAGAUCUAUUCUAGAAAAGGGCACAAUAAAUACAGCUGGCAGAAGCAGGAGACAAAACCAUAAAAGACAAGAGCAAG
This 394-nucleotide long non-coding RNA is filed under the name Anser brachyrhynchus (Pink-footed goose). RNAcentral's name for it is "lncRNA (ENSABRG00000010598.1)". The record is from RNAcentral. Lineage: Eukaryota; Metazoa; Chordata; Aves; Anseriformes; Anatidae.